CAGCCCUAAACGAUGCGCGUUAGGUGUAUCGGUGACCACGAGUCACCGAGGUGCCGAAGGGAAACCGUGAAACGUGCCGCCUGGGAAGUACGGUCGCAAGGCUGAAACUUAAAGGAAUUGGCGGGGAGGCACCACAACGGGUGGGAGCCUGCGGGUUUAAUUUGGACUCAACGCCGGGAAGCUCACCGGAUAAGACAGCGGAAUGAUUGCCGGGCUGAAGACCCUGCAUGACCAGCUGAGAGGAGGUGCAUGGCGUAGUCGUGU
RNAcentral lists this ribosomal RNA (264 nucleotides) under uncultured archaeon. Its description in RNAcentral is "partial 16S ribosomal RNA". It matches the Rfam family "Archaeal small subunit ribosomal RNA", at positions 748 to 1009 of the family's 1478-position model. The record is from RNAcentral.